AAGUCGUAACAAGGUUUCCGUAGGUGAACCUGCGGAAGGAUCAUUACCGAGUUCAUGCCCUUACGGGUAGAUCUCCACCCUUGCAUACCUAAACUUGUUGCUUUGGCAGGCCGUCCGGUCGCCCGGCCGUCGGCUCUCCGCUGGCGCGUGCCUGCCGAAGACCCAACCAACCAAGUCUUAUCAGUGUCGUCAGAGUACUAUAUAAUAGUUAAAACUUUCAACAACGGAUCUCUUGGUUCUA
This 241-nucleotide unclassified non-coding RNA is filed under the name fungal sp. RNAcentral's name for it is "partial internal transcribed spacer region". The stretch from base 1 to 46 matches the Rfam family "Eukaryotic small subunit ribosomal RNA", at positions 1786 to 1831 of the family's 1831-position model. The record is from RNAcentral. Lineage: Eukaryota; Fungi.